AAUUCAGUAGGUUAAGUUUAAACUUUUUAGUUUGCAUCUAUUAGAUAUAUUUUAUUUGGAUUU
This 63-nucleotide transfer RNA is filed under the name Seison sp. MS-2015. Its description in RNAcentral is "tRNA-Ala". The record is from RNAcentral. Lineage: Eukaryota; Metazoa; Rotifera; Pararotatoria; Seisonacea; Seisonidae.